Molecule: transfer RNA, 77 nt
Filed under: Anaerococcus vaginalis
Lineage: Bacteria; Bacillati; Bacillota; Tissierellia; Tissierellales; Peptoniphilaceae
Description: tRNA-Ile
Rfam family: tRNA
About the family: Transfer RNA (tRNA) molecules are approximately 80 nucleotides in length.
Source: RNAcentral
GGGCCUCUAGCUCAGUCGGUUAGAGCACCCGGCUCAUAACCGGUAGGUCGAGGGUUCGAGUCCCUGGAGGCUCACCA